RNAcentral lists this RNase P RNA (361 nucleotides) under Actinomycetota bacterium. RNAcentral describes it as "RNase P RNA component class A". It matches the Rfam family "Bacterial RNase P class A". From Rfam's summary of the family: Ribonuclease P (RNase P) is a ubiquitous endoribonuclease, found in archaea, bacteria and eukarya as well as chloroplasts and mitochondria. Its best characterised activity is the generation of mature 5'-ends of tRNAs by cleaving the 5'-leader elements of precursor-tRNAs. The record is from RNAcentral. Lineage: Bacteria; Bacillati; Actinomycetota.
UGGGCUGGCCGGGCGACCGCGUGGAGGAGACUCCCCGAGGAAGGUCCGGGCUCCACAGGGCAAGGUGGUGGGUAACACCCACCCGGGGAAACCCGCGGGAAAGUGCCACAGAAAUCAGACCGCCCGCGCCGCGAGGCGCAGGUAAGGGUGAAACGGCGGUGUAAGAGACCACCAGCACACCGGGUGACCGGCGUGGCUAGGCAAACCCCACCUGGAGCAAGGUCAGACAGCGCACGUUCGAGGGCGGCCCGCCCGAGUGCGCGGGUAGACCGCUGGAGGCGGCCGGCAACGGUCGUCGUAGAUGGAUGGUCGCCCCCGUCGCGAGACGGGACAGAACCCGGCCUACAGGCCAGCCCGUCCC